RNAcentral lists this ribosomal RNA (253 nucleotides) under uncultured microorganism. Its description in RNAcentral is "partial 16S ribosomal RNA". It matches the Rfam family "Bacterial small subunit ribosomal RNA", at positions 524 to 776 of the family's 1533-position model. The record is from RNAcentral.
GACAGAGGUGGCAAGCGUUGUUCGGAUUUACUGGGCGUAAAGCGUGCGCAGGCGGCCCGUUAAGACAGGUGUGAAAUCCCUGGGCUCAACCUAGGAAUUGCGCUUGUGACUGGCGGGCUCGAGUACGGUAGAGGGGGGUGGAAUUCCUGGUGUAGCAGUGAAAUGCGUAGAGAUCAGGAGGAACACCGAUGGCGAAGGCAGCCCCCUGGGCCUGUACUGACGCUCAUGCACGAAAGCGUGGGGAGCAAACAGG